AUGAGCUGUCUGCAUGCCCUACUCAACCACGCCGCGGACUCUGGUGUCCUCGCGCCGACAGGCCUUCGGAAUCACACAUCGAUCUUCGCGGAUGACGUGGUAACAUUCAUCAAGCCGGAGGCCCAAACUAUACGGGCAUGCAGACUUCUAUUGCAAGAUCUCGGGAUGGGAUCAGGACUACGCACGAAUUUAGCCAAGUGUUCCGCGCACCCGAUUAGGUGCACUGAUGAGCAAAUCAGCAUGAUAACUGCUGAUAUGGGUUGCCAAGUGCUGGGAUGGCCUUGUAGAUAUCUUGGCUUGCCGUUGGGACUACGGAAGAUCACAGCGAGUCAACUGCAAUAUAUGGUGGAUAAGAUGGCUGACAGACUACCCGCUUGGCAAGCGAGACUACUGUAUCGUGCAGGACGACUGGAGCUGGUGAAGACC
This 426-nucleotide ribosomal RNA is filed under the name Triticum aestivum (bread wheat). RNAcentral's name for it is "partial small subunit ribosomal RNA". Lineage: Eukaryota; Viridiplantae; Streptophyta; Magnoliopsida; Poales; Poaceae. The record is from RNAcentral.